RNAcentral lists this ribosomal RNA (489 nucleotides) under uncultured bacterium. RNAcentral describes it as "partial 16S ribosomal RNA". It matches the Rfam family "Bacterial small subunit ribosomal RNA", at positions 30 to 507 of the family's 1533-position model. The record is from RNAcentral.
AUUGAACGCUGGCGGCAGGCCUAACACAUGCAAGUCGAACGGUAACAGGAAGAAGCUUGCUUCUUUGCUGACGAGUGGCGGACGGGUGAGUAAUGUCUGGGAAACUGCCUGAUGGAGGGGGAUAACUACUGGAAACGGUAGCUAAUACCGCAUAACGUCGCAAGACCAAAGAGGGGGACCUUCGGGCCUUUUGCCAUCGGAUGUGCCCAGAUGGGAUUAGCUAGUAGGUGGGGUAACGGCUCACCUAGGCGACGAUCCCUAGCUGGUCUGAGAGGAUGACCAGCCACACUGGAACUGAGACACGUCCAGACUCCUACGGGAGGCAGCAGUGGGGAAUAUUGCACAAUGGGCGCAAGCCUGAUGCAGCCAUGCCGCGUGUAUGAAGAAGGCCUUCGGGUUGUAAAGUACUUUCAGCGGGGAGGAAGGGAGUAAAGUUAAUACCUUUGCUCAUUGACGUUACCCGCAGAAGAAGCACCGGCUAACUCCGUG